UGAUGAAGCUCAAGGCAUGAAGGUCUAUA
This 29-nucleotide non-coding RNA is filed under the name Mus musculus (house mouse). Lineage: Eukaryota; Metazoa; Chordata; Mammalia; Rodentia; Muridae. The record is from RNAcentral.